This 372-nucleotide ribosomal RNA is filed under the name uncultured bacterium. Its description in RNAcentral is "bacterial SSU rRNA". It matches the Rfam family "Bacterial small subunit ribosomal RNA", at positions 28 to 400 of the family's 1533-position model. The record is from RNAcentral.
GACGAACGCUGGCGGCGUGCUUAACACAUGCAAGUCGAGCGGUAAGGCCCUUUCGGGGGUACACGAGCGGCGAACGGGUAGAGUAACACGUGGGUGACCUGCCCUUAGCUCUGGGAUAAGCCUGGGAAACUGGGUCUAAUACCGGAUAUGACUCCAUGACGCAUGUUGUGGGGUGGAAAGCCUUGUGCGGCUAGGGAUGGGCCCGCGGCCUAUCAGCUUGUUGGUGGGGUGAUGGCCUACCAAGGCGACGACGGGUAGCCGGCCUGAGAGGGCGACCGGCCACACUGGGACUGAGACACGGCCCAGACUCCUACGGGAGGCAGCAGUGGGGAAUCUUGCGCAAUGGGCGAAAGCCUGACGCAGCGACGCCGC